AGCGAACGCUGGCGGCAGGCUUAACACAUGCAAGUCGAGCGGGCACCUUCGGGUGUCAGCGGCAGACGGGUGCGUAACACGUGGGAACGUACCCUUCGGUUCGGAAUAACGCUGGGAAACUAGCGCUAAUACCGGAUACGCCCUUAUGGGGAAAGGUUUACUGCCGAAGGAUCGGCCCGCGUCUGAUUAGCUAGUUGGUGGGGUAACGGCCUACCAAGGCGACGAUCAGUAGCUGGUCUGAGAGGAUGAUCAGCCACACUGGGACUGAGAUACGGCCCAGACUCCUACGGGAAGCAGCAGUGGGGAAUAUUGGACAAUGGGCGCAAGCCUGAUCCAGCCAUGCCGCGUGAGUGAUGAAGGCCUUAGGGUUGUAAAGCUCUUUUGUCCGGGACGAUAAUGACGGUACCGGAAGAAUAAGCCCCGGCUAACUUCGUG
This 435-nucleotide ribosomal RNA is filed under the name uncultured bacterium. RNAcentral's name for it is "partial 16S ribosomal RNA". It matches the Rfam family "Bacterial small subunit ribosomal RNA", at positions 29 to 507 of the family's 1533-position model. The record is from RNAcentral.